Molecule: microRNA precursor, 96 nt
Organism: Nicotiana attenuata
Lineage: Eukaryota; Viridiplantae; Streptophyta; Magnoliopsida; Solanales; Solanaceae
Rfam family: MIR6152 microRNA precursor family
Source: Rfam
UGGACAGAUUAUUGUAUUCGACUGUAUUCACGACGUGAAAUAGGGGAUUACACUGUUUUUAAACGGAAAGUGAAUCAAUUAACAUAAUCGACUCCU